CCUCGGGGGGCAGCAGUGGGGAAUUUUGCGCAAUGGGCGAAAGCCUGACGCAGCAACGCCGCGUGGGUGAUGAAGGUCUUCGGAUCGUAAAACCCUGUCGUCAGGGACGAAGGUUGCAUGUCGAACAGAUGUGUAACUUGACGGUACCUGGAGAGGAAGCCCCGGCUAACUCUGUGCCAGCAGCCGCGGUAAUACAGAGGGGGCAAGCGUUAUUCGGAAUUAUUGGGCGUAAAGGGCGCGUAGGCGGUGCUUUAAGUGAGAUGUGUAAUCCUCGAGCUUAACUUGGGAACUGCAUCUCAGACU
RNAcentral lists this ribosomal RNA (303 nucleotides) under uncultured prokaryote. RNAcentral describes it as "bacterial SSU rRNA". It matches the Rfam family "Bacterial small subunit ribosomal RNA", at positions 339 to 634 of the family's 1533-position model. The record is from RNAcentral.